Ornithorhynchus anatinus (platypus) is the source of this 57-nucleotide non-coding RNA. The record is from Rfam. NCBI's taxonomy places the organism in Eukaryota, Metazoa, Chordata, Mammalia, Monotremata, Ornithorhynchidae.
UGGCUCAGUGGAAAGAGCCUGGGCUUGGGAUUCAGAGGUCGUGGGUUCUAAUCCCGC